This 62-nucleotide ribosomal RNA is filed under the name Rhizopogon vesiculosus. RNAcentral's name for it is "5.8S ribosomal RNA". It matches the Rfam family "5.8S ribosomal RNA", at positions 93 to 154 of the family's 154-position model. Rfam says of the family: 5.8S ribosomal RNA (5.8S rRNA) is a component of the large subunit of the eukaryotic ribosome. It is transcribed by RNA polymerase I as part of the 45S precursor that also contains 18S and 28S rRNA. Lineage: Eukaryota; Fungi; Basidiomycota; Agaricomycetes; Boletales; Rhizopogonaceae. The record is from Rfam by way of RNAcentral.
CGAAUCUUUGAACGCACCUUGCGCUCCUCGGUGUUCCGAGGAGCAUGCCUGUUUGAGUGUCA